This 3489-nucleotide long non-coding RNA is filed under the name Lathyrus oleraceus (garden pea). RNAcentral's name for it is "Pisum sativum (pea) long non-coding RNA (PSAT_LNC035898)". Lineage: Eukaryota; Viridiplantae; Streptophyta; Magnoliopsida; Fabales; Fabaceae. The record is from RNAcentral.
ACUUAUCACAUAAAAAGAUAAAAAAGAUGGCUUUGAUUCUCAAGUUAUACGUUGUGUUUAUAUUUCUUUUCUUAUUUUUUGUUGCAUCAAAGGCUAAUGGUGAGCUGUUUCUUCUUCAAAUUUUAUUUUCUUUUAUUUACUUAUUUGUUUGUACAUAAAAUAUUUGUCUCAUUUUAACAAUAUAAUUUUUUUUAUUAUUUAGGAAUUAAGAAUUGUGAACAUAUCUUACAGAUUGUGAACAAGAUUCUGAUUGCAAGUGCAUUGUGCACGAGGUAAGCAAGUGUGUUAAUGUUUUUGUAGAGUGUGUUACCGUACUUAAAACAAUGACAAAUACGUCUUGAAUAGAUGAAUAAAUAUUGUACCUAAACAAGAUCUAUGAAUAUUAUAUUUUAAGAUAAUAAACAAAUAUAAAUAAAAUUACAAAAAAUAUUAUUAAUAAUGGUCAUCUAUUUUAUUAAAUGAAGAAGUAUGGAUGUGACCUCUAUUUUAUGCAAAUCAUAUAUAUAUAUAUAUAUAUAUAUAUAUAUAUAUAUAUAUAAUAUAUAUAUUAUAUAUAUAUAUAUAUUAUAUAUAUAUAUAUAUAUAUAUAUAAUAUAUAUAUAUGUGUCACGAUUUAAAUUGACAUUAAAGUGUCAAACUUAGUAGCAUGACAUUUUCGAUAACUCUUUACUGGAUAUCUGUAUAAUAAAAUUCACCGUUAGAUUAAAAAUUAUUAUCAUAUUAUAGCAUGUCUAUAAAAUUUAAUAUCAAUAGAAAAUCCACUACUACAAAUAACACAUAUAAUGUCGGUCACUAUAAAAUUUAACCUCGACAACACAAGUUAGGUAACGAAGGACGUCAUGAAAAGUAAUCAUUUGUCACCUUGGUGUUUUUAAAACCGAUGUUAGAAAUUAAAAGAUUGUGGGUUGGAUCCCCAUCAUCAGCAUUUUUAUUAUGUUCAGAUUUGGAUGGCACGCCCAAUGUUAUUAUCUCGGUUUUAUGUAAAAGUCGAGGUAAUAUCUCAAUGUUAUUACCUCGAUUUUAUGUAAACACCGAGGGGAUAAGCUUUUUUGUAUUGUCGUUUCCACAUGUAUUAUAUAACCAUUUACAGAACCAUAUUUUGCAGAUUCCUGAAACAGAAAUAUUGUACAUUUUUCCAAUUUCUCAAUCUGAAACAUUGUAUCACAAAUAUUCAUUGAUUAAACCAAAUGCAAACCCAAAAUGACGCACAUUUUAUAAUUUUACAUUAAAACUAAAACAAAGGAUUAUGAAACAAAAACAAUAACCAAAAUGGAAUGUUUUGUAGGUUGUCCAAUAUGAUUUGUCAUUGGUCCUUAAGCACCUAUAGUUUGAACAAUAUUUGAAACUAAUUAGGUCAAUCAAUAACAAUUUGAAAUAUAUGUAUAAUGAUUAAAAAUGAGUAAAAUGAUUAAUUAUAAUUUUCAAAGGGAUAUAAAACAUUUACUUACUAGUUUGUGCAUAUCCCCUCUUCAUGAUCACGAAGCAUGCACAUCAUCUGAAUCAUUUUCUUCAGAUGCAUAACGUACAUGUGUUGCUAAACUAGGCGUCUCAUAGUUAAAAUUUUGAUUUUCAUCAGUACUAGUGGAAAGAUGUUGACCUUGAAGAGCAAUUGAUCAUCUAGUAUUAGAAGGAUCAGUGGCAACCAUUUGCAAAGCUCUAAUGCACUACUCUCUUUAGAAAUACUUUCAUUAAGCCAAUUUAUAAAAGUUUUGUUAUGCUUUGUCAACAACCAUUUUUCAUUCAUCCGGGGGAAUUUUUCCUUUAAAAGACUUUUGUGAGCGGUCAAGCAAGGUUGAACUUCAGAAAGAUUAUUCAAUAUAUGCAAAUGUGCUUGAAGAACUACUUUUCGGGAAAAUGUCUUAAUAUUUAAACCUUGAAUACCUCUACCAUAAUAAAAUCCAUCACGACGAGACUCGUGAAUUCCUAUAAAGUAAGCUUCUGACAAAUACUUUUUACAAAACUCAAUAGCUUCUUCUGUGAUGUACAUUUCUACGAUCAAAGCUUUCGAACGACGAUGAUUCAGUGUAUACCCUUUAAAAAUCUUCAUGUAACGCUCUACCGGAUACAUCCACCGUAAAUAAACUGGACCACAAAUUCUAAUCUCCCUUACUAGAUGAACAACUAAGUGAAACAUAAUGUCAAAUAAUGAUGGAGAGAAAACAUCUCUAAUUGGUACAAGAUAACUGCAACUUCGUCUUCCAAGUCAUCUAAAUUUCUAGGAUCAAUAACUUUACUACAUAUAAUAUUGAAGAAUAUGCAUAAUCUGGUUAUAGUUACCCUUACAUUUCUUGGUAAAAUGCCACGGAUAAUCACUGGUAGAAGUUGUUGCAUCAAAACAUGACAAUCAUGAGAUUUCAAGCCAAUUAACUUGUAAUCGUUCUCUGACACAAGUUUCUUCAUAUUUGAUAAGUACUGUAGCGGUAAAUUUAUGAUCAUCAAGCUAUGGAUAAGCUAGAGAUCAAAUAAUAAGAGUCGCCACCGCGCUUUUAUUAUUUCCAAGGGAAAAGGGAAAAAGUACGAACAAAACCCAAAAAGUAAGAAGUUUUCAAAUAAAAACUAAUAAAAUUUCAGAGAUUACAGGUAAGGGGGUUGGUUACACAGAGGGAAGGUGUUAGCACCCAAAGUGUCCUAGGUACUCCUAGGGAGCCCUUUUUGUGUGCAUAUGUAUUUGGUACAAAGUGAUGUUUACAAACAAAUAGAAUUGGGGAGUGAGAAUAAGAAUUCCAUACAAUAUUUUUGUGUUUGGCAAGACCUUCGGUCUUGUGCCUACGUACCAACAUAAAAAUGAGGGAUCAAAACCUCGUAGUUCGUGAUACAAAUUUCAAAGUGGAUGCAUUGCUUUUAACAAAAAUUUAGUUUGAAAGGCACAAAGGCCUAAAAAUGGUUUGAAUGAGUUAUUUCUUUUUGGCAUUUUGAAAGUUUAAGUCAAGUAUAGUUAAGUUUAUUUACAAGUUUGAUUUAAGAAAAGAAGUUUGAAAAUGCAAUGGCAUAAAGCCAAAGUUUCUAUCUUUUUUACAAAGUGGUCAAAGUUUAAAACAAAAUAAGUUCAAUCAAAGAAAGUUUUGAAAAAGGAGGGAGAUGUUUUGAAAUUAAAGAAAUGGGGAGAAGAUGAAGAAACUAAUCCUAUGUACAAAAUUAAAAUUUAAGAGUUGAAAAGAUCUGACCAAAUAGGUAGCAAUCCAAUAGACAAGAAUGUCAAUAGAAACCCAGAAUUCCCUUGGACUUUUAGAAUAAGCAACACACAAAUGCACAAUUAUAUUAUCUUGAAGAGCAAGGCAUCAAAUAAAGAUGGCCAUAUCCAAGCUUAUCCAUUCCAUGAUCUUCUUCAAGGUAGCCCAUGUAACAAAUGAAUUCCACAAGUCACAGGUUCAAAAUAACAACUUCACAAUGAUCAUGUUGCAGAUGAACUUAGAGAGAUCUUGAAUGAUGUAUCAGAUGAAGUUUCAAAUUGCAAGCACUUGGUUUCUCAAACGUAAGUUGGCAUUGGCC